RNAcentral lists this ribosomal RNA (510 nucleotides) under Staphylococcus aureus. RNAcentral describes it as "bacterial LSU rRNA". It matches the Rfam family "Bacterial large subunit ribosomal RNA", at positions 1 to 503 of the family's 2925-position model. The record is from RNAcentral. Lineage: Bacteria; Bacillati; Bacillota; Bacilli; Caryophanales; Staphylococcaceae.
AGAUUAAGUUAUUAAGGGCGCACGGUGGAUGCCUUGGCGCUAGAAGCCGAUGAAGGACGUUACUAACGACGAUAUGCUUUGGGGAGCUGUAAGUAAGCUUUGAUCCAGAGAUUUCCGAAUGGGGAAACCCAGCAUGAGUUAUGUCAUGUUAUCGAUAUGUGAAUACAUAGCAUAUCAGAAGGCACACCCGGAGAACUGAAACAUCUUAGUACCCGGAGGAAGAGAAAGAAAAUUCGAUUCCCUUAGUAGCGGCGAGCGAAACGGGAAGAGCCCAAACCAAAAAGCUUGCUUGUUGGGGUUGUAGGACACUCUAUACGGAGUUACAAAGGACGACAUUAGACGAAUCAUCUGGAAAGAUGAAUCAAAGAAGGUAAUAAUCCUGUAGUCGAAAAUGUUGUCUCUCUUGAGUGGAUCCUGAGUACGACGGAGCACGUGAAAUUCCGUCGGAAUCUGGGAGGACCAUCUCCUAAGGCUAAAUACUCUCUAGUGACCGAUAGUGAACCAGUACCG